GCUCGAGUGGCGAACGGGUGAGUAACACGUGAGUAACCUGCCCUUGACUUUGGGAUAACUUCAGGAAACUGGGGCUAAUACCGGAUAGGAGCUCCUGCUGCAUGGUGGGGGUUGGAAAGUUUCGGCGGUUGGGGAUGGACUCGCGGCUUAUCAGCUUGUUGGUGGGGUAGUGGCUUACCAAGGCUUUGACGGGUAGCCGGCCUGAGAGGGUGAUCGGCCACACUGGAACUGAGACACGGUCCAG
RNAcentral lists this ribosomal RNA (244 nucleotides) under uncultured Actinomycetales bacterium. RNAcentral's name for it is "partial 16S ribosomal RNA". It matches the Rfam family "Bacterial small subunit ribosomal RNA", at positions 89 to 334 of the family's 1533-position model. The record is from RNAcentral. Lineage: Bacteria; Bacillati; Actinomycetota; Actinomycetes; Actinomycetales.